AUAUUUAUUAUAUACAGGUUUUGGAGAAAAUCCUUCUAGUGUGUGAAUUUAAAAUAUUGGACGACCAAAACUUUUUUGAUGGCCAGUUGUGAACAUCAAAGAAUAUGAAUCUAUAGUCGAAAGACACAACAGAACUACUCAACAUGGUUGCCAAACCUACGAAGAAAGCCUCAGGUUCCAUCAUUUCACAUCAUCCAGAACAUACUAGUUCCUGAUGGGUCUUCUCCUCUCCUUCUUUCGUUCUCUUCUCGCGAUCGUGUUUAUUCUUAUCGUAUGCCUGGGGGCAGUGCCUUUCCGAGUUAAUGCAGGUUUUGCAGAUGAUGGGAUAAGGAGAAAUAUUCGACAGAACAGAGUACAGCCAAGCCCCCCUCCACCCCCCAGGGUGAGUCAGUCUACGGUUUACAUCGCGCCCGUGGCUGCUCCGCCUCCCCGAGCAUCAUAAGAUCCACAAACGUUAAUUCUAUCAUCCAAACAGUUCUUAUACUUGAUAUCAUCUCCCUGGAAGCUGCUCGUACGAUCGGAUGGGAAUGAUCAUUGUUCGGUUUGUCGGUAGGUCCUGGAUCAUAACUGAUGCGUAUGAGUCGCUUAGAAUUGCUACGUAAGCCCUUAUCUUGUAUUUGGACAUUGAUUUACGACUUGAUGUGCAUGGAUAUACGUAAGUCGUUCGUUCAGGCGUUUUGUUCUUCAUUACUGGUGCUUUAUGAGUACAUGAUCGUGUCAAUUUCC
Punica granatum (pomegranate) is the source of this 726-nucleotide non-coding RNA. The record is from RefSeq and is a predicted model, not a curated record. Lineage: Eukaryota; Viridiplantae; Streptophyta; Magnoliopsida; Myrtales; Lythraceae.